Molecule: ribosomal RNA, 599 nt
Filed under: Colletotrichum musae
Lineage: Eukaryota; Fungi; Ascomycota; Sordariomycetes; Glomerellales; Glomerellaceae
Description: eukaryotic LSU rRNA
Rfam family: Eukaryotic large subunit ribosomal RNA
Source: RNAcentral
UUGACCUCGGAUCAGGUAGGAAUACCCGCUGAACUUAAGCAUAUCAAUAAGCGGAGGAAAAGAAACCAACAGGGAUUGCCUCAGUAACGGCGAGUGAAGCGGCAACAGCUCAAAUUUGAAAUCUGGCCCCAGGCCCGAGUUGUAAUUUGCAGAGGAUGCUUUUGGUGCGGUGCCUUCCAAGUUCCCUAGAACGGGACGCCAGAGAGGGUGAGAGCCCCGUACAGUUGGACACCAAGCCUUUGUAAAGCUCCUUCGACGAGUCGAGUAGUUUGGGAAUGCUGCUCAAAAUGGGAGGUAUAUUUCUUCUAAAGCUAAAUACCGGCCAGAGACCGAUAGCGCACAAGUAGAGUGAUCGAAAGAUGAAAAGCACUUUGAAAAGAGGGUUAAACAGCACGUGAAAUUGUUAAAAGGGAAGCGCUUGUGACCAGACUUGCGUCCGGUGAAUCACCCAGCUCUCGCGGCUGGGGCACUUCGCCGGCUCAGGCCAGCAUCAGCUCGCUGUCGGGGACAAAAGCUUCAGGAACGUAGCUCUCUCCGGGGAGUGUUAUAGCCUGUUGCACAAUACCCUUCGGCGGGCUGAGGUACGCGCUCCGCAAGGA